RNAcentral lists this ribosomal RNA (460 nucleotides) under uncultured bacterium. RNAcentral's name for it is "partial 16S ribosomal RNA". It matches the Rfam family "Bacterial small subunit ribosomal RNA", at positions 338 to 795 of the family's 1533-position model. The record is from RNAcentral.
CCUACGGGCGGCAGCAGUGAGGAAUAUUGGUCAAUGGACGAGAGUCUGAACCAGCGAAGUAGCGUGAAGGAUGACUGCCCUAUGGGUUGUAAACUUCUUUUAUAUGGGAAUAAAAUGUUCCACGUGUGGGAUUUUGUAUGUACCAUAUGAAUAAGGAUCGGCUAACUCCGUGCCAGCAGCCGCGGUAAUACGGAGGAUCCGAGCGUUAUCCGGAUUUAUUGGGUUUAAGGGGAGCGUAGGUGGAUUGUUAAGUCAGUUGUGAAAGUUUGCGGCUCAACCGUAAAAUUGCAGUUGAAACUGGCAGUCUGGAGUACAGUAGAGGUGAGCGGAAUUCGUGGUGUAGCGGUGAAAUGCGUAGAUAUCACGAAGAACUCCGGUUGCGAAGGCGGUUAACUGGACUACAACUGACACUGAGGCUCGAAAGUGUGGGUAUCAAACAGGAUUAGAUACCCCUGUAGUC